Molecule: small nucleolar RNA, 132 nt
Organism: Rattus norvegicus (Norway rat)
Lineage: Eukaryota; Metazoa; Chordata; Mammalia; Rodentia; Muridae
Product: small nucleolar RNA SNORA17
Source: Ensembl
CUUGACCCUAGAGAUUUUGCAGGUGUGACUACUGUGUCAUGUGUGUCUCAGUGGGUGGCAGAGAGGACAGAAGCUAUAUCUAUGCUCAAUGUUCUGAUCUGUGAUCACUUGAAUGAAUAGUACUCUAACAUC